This 124-nucleotide non-coding RNA is filed under the name unclassified sequences. Its description in RNAcentral is "DUF3800-I RNA". It matches the Rfam family "DUF3800-I RNA". From Rfam's summary of the family: Actinobacteria, Firmicutes, Fusobacteria, Proteobacteria (1 example), Tenericutes (2 examples). Terminator (Clostridia) The record is from Rfam by way of RNAcentral.
UUAUAUUACCGAAAGAGAAAUCUUUGUCAGGUCGAUAGUUAGAUUACGAUUUUAUUAAUUAAGCGUGCUACUUUGUACGCCGUACUAACUGGGAAAGAGCCGUAUGGCUCUUUUUCAUUUUUUU